UAGUGUAGGGAAACAGUAGCAGUUUUUA
RNAcentral lists this non-coding RNA (28 nucleotides) under Mus musculus (house mouse). Lineage: Eukaryota; Metazoa; Chordata; Mammalia; Rodentia; Muridae. The record is from RNAcentral.